UGGAUCAGUGAUGACUACUGGUUGCGUGACAUUAUGAGUGAAAUAUGAUGAAUACAUAUAUGGAACUCUCAGGUCCAU
Otolemur garnettii (small-eared galago) is the source of this 78-nucleotide small nucleolar RNA. The record is from Ensembl. Lineage: Eukaryota; Metazoa; Chordata; Mammalia; Primates; Galagidae.